This 411-nucleotide ribosomal RNA is filed under the name Triticum aestivum (bread wheat). Its description in RNAcentral is "partial small subunit ribosomal RNA". Lineage: Eukaryota; Viridiplantae; Streptophyta; Magnoliopsida; Poales; Poaceae. The record is from RNAcentral.
GGAAAAUUCUUCCUUGUUGAUGCGGGGUAUGCUGUGAGGCCGGGUUUUCUUCCACCAUACCGUGGCACGAGGUACCACUUGAAAGAGUAUGGACGAGGGAACCAUCCUCAAAAUGCUAAAGAGUUGUUCAACUUAAGACACUCUUCUUUGAGGACAACGGUUGAAAGGGCUUUUGCCGCAUACAAAAACCAUUGGAAGUUUGUCUACAAUAAGCCGUUCCAUGGUUACAAGACCCAAGUAAAAGUAGUGCUAGCUUGUGCAAUUCUUCACAAUUGGGUACUUCAAUAUGGUGAGGAUGAGUAUUUCCCACCUGAGGAAACAUGGGAGCCAGAACCCAAUGAUGAAGAUCACAAUGAUAUUGUCCAUGACAAUAUUUCUUGGGCUCAUAAGAGAGAUGAAUUUGCAAAUUAG